Molecule: small nucleolar RNA, 138 nt
Organism: Ornithorhynchus anatinus (platypus)
Lineage: Eukaryota; Metazoa; Chordata; Mammalia; Monotremata; Ornithorhynchidae
Source: RefSeq, a predicted model, not a curated record
CCCCUCUCAGGAUCAUACCUGGAGAGUUUCUAGUACUCUAUCAGUCUUGGCUAUGGGAGGGAGAGUUAAGCAGAGGCCUUCCUGUUCCAUUCCUAGCUUGGGCUCUGGCUAGCGAGUGGAAAGCAAUCUAUUACAAGU